UGGGGAAUAUUGGACAAUGGGCGCAAGCCUGAUCCAGCCAUGCCGCGUGAGUGAUGAAGGCCCUAGGGUUGUAAAGCUCUUUCACCGGUGAAGAUAAUGACGGUAACCGGAGAAGAAGCCCCGGCUAACUUCGUGCCAGCAGCCGCGGUAAUACGAAGGGGGCUAGCGUUGUUCGGAUUUACUGGGCGUAAAGCGCACGUAGGCGGACUUUUAAGUCAGGGGUGAAAUCCCGGGGCUCAACCCCGGAACUGCCUUUGAUACUGGAAGUCUUGAGUAUGGUAGAGGUGAGUGGAAUUCCGAGUGUAGAGGUGAAAUUCGUAGAUAUUCGGAGGAACACCAGUGGCGAAGGCGGCUCACUGGACCAUUACUGACGCUGAGGUGCGAAAGCGUGGGUAGCAAACAGG
Molecule: ribosomal RNA, 404 nt
Filed under: Verrucomicrobiota bacterium
Lineage: Bacteria; Pseudomonadati; Verrucomicrobiota
Description: Verrucomicrobia bacterium partial 16S ribosomal RNA
Rfam family: Bacterial small subunit ribosomal RNA
Source: RNAcentral